This 753-nucleotide long non-coding RNA is filed under the name Pandoravirus quercus. RNAcentral describes it as "hypothetical ncRNA". The record is from RNAcentral.
CGUUGAACCGUUGGUUGAGGCGCGCGAGGGCCGCGCGCGCGUCCGCCUCGACGCCGCGCGCAUAUUCGAGCACACCCUCGGUGAGGACGGCCCUCGCGCCGCGCAUGUCAAAACGGUCGACGGCAUUGCGGGCGGCGUCGGCCGCGGCGCGACUAAUGACCGGCGCGCGUGUGACGGGGUCGACCAGACCGAUGGCGGAAGAGACCGAGGACGCGUUGAUAGCGGCCGACGGAUGGAUGGCGUCGGCCAGACUCACGAGAAACUGGUAGCGCGGCAAGAGGCGUGCCUCGUCACGAGGCCACUCGGUGUCGACAUAGGGCACGUCGGGCGCACCCCUGGGACCCGCCAGGGCGCGUGGCUGUGCGGCGUCGCUCAAAAUCGCUGGCAGCGACACCUCGACGACAUCGGUCAACGCCGCAAAGGGGUCGGUCGAUGGUGGGGCAAACAUGAAAGUCGGUGGCCUCGCCAAAAAGGGCGGUAUGGACGACUGAGCAAGAGAGGCGACGAUGGCGUGUGCGGUCUUUGAUGGCGCCGAUUUGCCCUUGGAGACGACCCUCGCGGUCUCUGGUGGCUCCACGCGGGCGGGCGUGUAUGCGCCAACCUCUCAUUCGCCCCCAGCCCCCGUCGCCCAAUCGGCCCGCUUUUGUGUCGCCCCUUUUUUUGGAACAUUUUUUUUUGAAACCCUUUGUUUUCCCUUCAAAACAAUCUGCAUUCUUGUCUUGGACCAUCUGCGCGCCCGGCGUCGGGUAUCGG